UUCAUUCUGCAAAUUGGACAUCACAGCUCCACAAAUUUUUCCUGUCAAGUUUUAGGAUAACAUUUGCAGUAAGUUUUACGCUAUAAGCGUAAUAAAAUUAGAUAUAAAAAGUAAAAACUUUUCGUCAUGAUCGAGACCGCGAAUAACCAAAUUCCUCUUCCAAAAAUGAUUCUGGUUUUCAGCCAAGCCGAGCAGGAAGACAUGCAUGAGUUGAAUAUUUUUGAAGUCAUAAACACUCCUGAACAUCGGUGCACCACUUUGGUUACUGAAGAAGAAAGGAAUGAAUUCGAUUCUAUCUCCGAAUUGGAUGAUGAUAUUGUGUACUUCUUUACUAAUCGUCACUUGAGCAUCCAAGAUGUUUUCAAUAUUGCAAACACGUUGUUCAAUACAUAUCUCCACUGAAUGGAGAUCUACUAUGCAAGAAAUCAACUUGAUUUAUUAAGUAUACGCCAUGAAUAAGAACACGCCUUGCAAGAUCUCUUAAAUCUACAAUAGUAAUUUCAACCCAAAAUGUUGAAUACAAAAACUUUGGAGCUACCUAAGGCUGCCAAUUAAAAAAUAUUUAAUAUAAAAUGUUACAAACAUUAAUUCAUAUCAAAUAAAUAAAAU
Molecule: long non-coding RNA, 609 nt
Organism: Teleopsis dalmanni
Lineage: Eukaryota; Metazoa; Arthropoda; Insecta; Diptera; Diopsidae
Exons: 3
Source: RefSeq, a predicted model, not a curated record